RNAcentral lists this ribosomal RNA (492 nucleotides) under uncultured bacterium. RNAcentral's name for it is "partial 16S ribosomal RNA". It matches the Rfam family "Bacterial small subunit ribosomal RNA", at positions 29 to 507 of the family's 1533-position model. The record is from RNAcentral.
AGUGAACGCUGGCGGUAGGCCUAACACAUGCAAGUCGAACGGCAGCACAGUAAGAGCUUGCUCUUACGGGUGGCGAGUGGCGGACGGGUGAGGAAUACAUCGGAAUCUACUUUUUCGUGGGGGAUAACGUAGGGAAACUUACGCUAAUACCGCAUACGACCUACGGGUGAAAGCAGGGGAUCUUCGGACCUUGCGCGUUUCAAUGCGCCGAUGUCGGAUUAGCUAGUUGGCGGGGUAAAGGCCCACCACGGCGACGAUCCGUAGCUGGUCUGAGAGGAUGAUCAGCCACACUGGAACUGAGACACGGUCCAGACUCCUACGGGAGGCAGCAGUGGGGAAUAUUGGACAAUGGGCGCAAGCCUGAUCCAGCCAUACCGCGUGGGUGAAGAAGGCCUUCGGGUUGUAAAGCCCUUUUGUUGGGAAAGAAAAGCAGCAGGUUAAUACCCCGCUGUUCUGACGGUACCCAAAGAAUAAGCACCGGCUAACUUCGUG